This 80-nucleotide small RNA is filed under the name Marmota monax (woodchuck). The record is from RNAcentral. Lineage: Eukaryota; Metazoa; Chordata; Mammalia; Rodentia; Sciuridae.
GCUGGGCAUGGUGGUGCAUGCCUGUAAUCCCAUCAACUCAGGAGGCUGAGGCAGGAGGAUGAGUUCAAAGCCAGCCUCAG